Molecule: transfer RNA, 76 nt
Filed under: Shuttleworthella satelles DSM 14600
Lineage: Bacteria; Bacillati; Bacillota; Clostridia; Lachnospirales; Lachnospiraceae
Also listed under: 1 other name
Description: Shuttleworthia satelles DSM 14600 tRNA-Ala
Rfam family: tRNA
About the family: Transfer RNA (tRNA) molecules are approximately 80 nucleotides in length. Their secondary structure includes four short double-helical elements and three loops (D, anti-codon, and T loops).
Source: RNAcentral
GGGGGCGUAGCUCAGUUGGGAGAGCGCUUGAAUGGCAUUCAAGAGGUCAUGGGUUCAAGUCCCACCGUCUCCACUA